This 285-nucleotide ribosomal RNA is filed under the name uncultured bacterium. RNAcentral describes it as "partial 16S ribosomal RNA". It matches the Rfam family "Bacterial small subunit ribosomal RNA", at positions 331 to 635 of the family's 1533-position model. The record is from RNAcentral.
GCUAACCUACGGGAGGCAGCAGUGGGGAAUAUUGCACAAUGGGGGAAACCCUGAUGCAGCGACGCCGCGUGAGUGAAGAAGUAUUUCGGUAUGUAAAGCUCUAUCAGCAGGGAAGAAAAUGACGGUACCUGACUAAGAAGCCCCGGCUAACUACGUGCCAGCAGCCGCGGUAAUACGUAGGGGGCAAGCGUUAUCCGGAUUCACUGGGUGUAAAGGGAGCGUAGACGGCGACGCAAGUCUGGAGUGAAAGCCCGCGGCCCAACCGCGGGACUGCAUUGGGAACUA